Molecule: ribosomal RNA, 253 nt
Filed under: uncultured bacterium
Lineage: Bacteria
Description: partial 16S ribosomal RNA
Rfam family: Bacterial small subunit ribosomal RNA
Source: RNAcentral
UACAGAGGCCUCGAGCGUUAGGCGGAAUCACUGGGCUUAAAGCGUGUGUAGGCGGACUUCUAAGUACCUUGUGAAAUCCCACGGCUUACCCGUGGAACUGCUCGGUAUACUGGUUGUCUUGAGCCAUCUAGGGGCUACCGGAACAAAUGGUGGAGCGGUGAAAUGCGUAGAUAUCAUUUGGAACGCCAAUGGUGAAAACAGGUAGCUGGGGAUGUGCUGACGCUGAGACACGAAAGCCAGGGGAGCGAACGGG